This 356-nucleotide transfer-messenger RNA is filed under the name Chthoniobacterales bacterium. It matches the Rfam family "transfer-messenger RNA". Rfam says of the family: Bacterial tmRNA, also known as 10Sa RNA or SsrA, is named for its dual tRNA and mRNA-like properties. Its role is to liberate the mRNA from a stalled ribosome. To accomplish this part of the tmRNA is used as a reading frame that ends in a translation stop signal. RNAcentral also lists the same sequence under 1 other name. Lineage: Bacteria; Pseudomonadati; Verrucomicrobiota; Spartobacteria; Chthoniobacterales. The record is from RNAcentral.
GGGGGCGUACUGGUUUCGACUUGAGGUGUGAAGCCCGGCCCGCAUGCCGAGGAUGAUUCGUUGGCCUCGUAAAAAAUCGGAUCAAAAAAAUAAAUGCAGAUUACGAAGAUCUCGCUCUCGCGGCCUAAUUGACCGCGACGUUUUCCGGGGGACGCCUGCUACUCCGGAAAGCGACGACAGCAGGCUAAUUUUCAGCCGGGGUGGCCGCGGCGGGAAGUGAAUCGAUUUCGUGGCCGCUCUGGAGUCGGUAGCGUGGCGGUUCGCAGCAGGGCUCCAAGACCAAAAACCGCCUAAGCAUGUAGAAAGUUGUGCAGAUCGCUUGAAGGACAGGGGUUCGACUCCCCUCGCCUCCACGU